CAGCAGCCGCGGGAAUACGAAGGGUGCAAGCGUUACUCGGAAUUACUGGGCGUAAAGCGUGCGUAGGUGGUGGUUUAAGUCCGUUGUGAAAGCCCUGGGCUCAACCUGGGAAUUGCAGUGGAUACUGGAUCACUAGAGUGUGGUAGAGGAUAGUGAAAUUUCCGGUGUAGCAGUGAAAUGCGUAGAGAUCGGAAGGAACAUCUGUGGCGAAGGCGACUAUCUGGGCCAACACUGACACUGAGGCACGAAAGCGUGGGGAGCAAACAGGAUUAGAUACCCGCGUAGUCCCUGUCUCUUAUAC
This 301-nucleotide ribosomal RNA is filed under the name uncultured bacterium. RNAcentral describes it as "partial 16S ribosomal RNA". It matches the Rfam family "Bacterial small subunit ribosomal RNA", at positions 509 to 807 of the family's 1533-position model. The record is from RNAcentral.